This is a long non-coding RNA of Syngnathus acus (greater pipefish), 917 nucleotides long. RefSeq lists it as uncharacterized. The transcript is spliced from 3 exons. The record is from RefSeq and is a predicted model, not a curated record. Lineage: Eukaryota; Metazoa; Chordata; Actinopteri; Syngnathiformes; Syngnathidae.
GAGGGCAACGACAGCAAACCAGAGCAGUUGGGCCGCCAGGUUGAGGUCAAAGCCAGCAGUAGCGGCAUACCGAAGACAGGCACAGAAUUGACCCUGGAAUGCGUCGUCACCGAGAACGGAGCCCGCGCCGCCGGCGUCACCACCUUCGCGUGGCUCAAGAACGGCGACGUGAUGCUCCACCGUACCGGUGCCACGGUGGACUUUAAGCCCCUCAAGAAGAUGGACGCAGGCACAUACGCGUGCAAGGUCGGCACAGACCUGUCGAGCGGCUACGUCUUGACUCUGACUGGGGGCGCCGUGGCGGCGUCCUACUCGCCGGCGCUGCUGCUGACGCUGAGCCUGCUGCACGCGCUGCUUUGCCUCUUGUGCUACUAGAUAGCGGAACGGCGCCCAGCCGCCAGCUCGUGCCCGGCCGGGAGACGUCAGCUGGGGAGCCACCGCCGUCGCCCUACGAGCACCCAACCCAACCCACCCACCGCUACACACAAAAAAAGAAAGAAGAAAAGGUGCAAAAAGUUGAAAAAGAAAAAACAGUACUCUUGGUUGUUAUUGCUUCUUUCUUUGCUCGGGGAAGUCAUCGGCCGGCCGGUCGGUGUUUUUGUCUUUGCGGCAUUGUCGGGUCGCCGCCCAUUUUCAAAUAGUCACGGGAAUAAUGACCCUCCUCCCUCUGUAUCUGUUGCGCUCGCCGCCCGCGAUGUUUGGGAGAAAGCAAAGAGCCGGCGUGUCGCGUAGGGCGGCCUUUAUAUGGAGGGGCACGUGAAAAGGCUUCCAAAACAAAGGCCGAAUAAGGUUCCUUUGGGUGGGGAUGGUUGGGCUAACUAAAGCAAAGUGUCUUUUGGAUUUUGCUCCUUUGCAUGCUGUCUUUGGUCUUGUUCACCUUUUUUUUUCUGCUAAAGCUAAUAAAAGCAUUCAAUGCA